ACACAUGCAAGUCGAACGGUAACAGGAAGCAGCUUGCUGCUUUGCUGACGAGUGGCGGACGGGUGAGUAAUGUCUGGGAAACUGCCUGAUGGAGGGGGAUAACUACUGGAAACGGUGGCUAAUACCGCAUAACGUCGCAAGACCAAAGAGGGGGACCUUCGGGCCUCUUGCCAUCAGAUGUGCCCAGAUGGGAUUAGCUUGUUGGUGAGGUAACGGCUCACCAAGGCGACGAUCCCUAGCUGGUCUGAGAGGAUGACCAGCCACACUGGAACUGAGACACGGUCCAGACUCCUACGGGAGGCAGCAGUGGGGAAUAUUGCACAAUGGGCGCAAGCCUGAUGCAGCCAUGCCGCGUGUAUGAAGAAGGCCUUCGGGUUGUAAAGUACUUUCAGCGGGGAGG
Molecule: ribosomal RNA, 400 nt
Filed under: Salmonella enterica subsp. enterica serovar Senftenberg
Lineage: Bacteria; Pseudomonadati; Pseudomonadota; Gammaproteobacteria; Enterobacterales; Enterobacteriaceae
Description: bacterial SSU rRNA
Rfam family: Bacterial small subunit ribosomal RNA
Source: RNAcentral